AAUAGAUACCCAGGUAGUCCACGCCGUAAACGAUGAGUGCUAAGUGUUAGAGGGUUUCCGGCCCUUUAGUGCUGCAGCUAACGCAUUAAGCACUCCGCCUGGGGAGUACGGCCGCAAGGCUAAAACUCAAAGGGAAUUGACGGGGGCCCGCACAAGCGGUGGAGCAUGUGGUUUAAUUCGAAGCAACGCGAAGAACCUUACCAGGUCUUGACAUCCUCUGCCAACCCUAGAGAUAGGGCGUUCCCCUUCGGGGGACAGAGUGACAGGUGGUGCAUGGUUGUCGUCAGCUCGUGUCGUGAGAUGUUGGGUUAAGUCCCGCAACGAGCGCAACCCUUGAUCUUAGUUGCCAGCAUUCAGUUGGGCACUCUAAGGUGACUGCCGGUGACAAACCGGAGGAAGGUGGGGAUGACGUCAAAUCAUCAUGCCCCUUAUGACCUGGGCUACACACGUGCUACAAUGGAUGGUACAAAGAGCUGCGAACCCGCGAGGGUAAGCCAAUCUCAUAAAGCCAUUCUCAGUUCGGA
Molecule: ribosomal RNA, 524 nt
Filed under: uncultured bacterium
Lineage: Bacteria
Description: bacterial SSU rRNA
Rfam family: Bacterial small subunit ribosomal RNA
Source: RNAcentral